UACAGAGGGUGCGAGCGUUGUCCGGAAUCACUGGGCGUAAAGGGCGCGUAGGCGGCCUGGUAAGUACGGGGUGAAAUCUCACGGCUCAACCGUGAGGCUGCCUCGUAGACUGCCGGGCUCGAGCAGAGCAGAGGCUAGCGGAAUUCCCGGUGUAGCGGUGGAAUGCGUAGAGAUCGGGAAGAACAUCGGUGGCGAAGGCGGCUAGCUGGGCUCUUGCUGACGCUGAUGCGCGACAGCGUGGGGAGCAAACAGG
This 253-nucleotide ribosomal RNA is filed under the name uncultured bacterium. Its description in RNAcentral is "partial 16S ribosomal RNA". It matches the Rfam family "Bacterial small subunit ribosomal RNA", at positions 524 to 776 of the family's 1533-position model. The record is from RNAcentral.